AGCAGUGGUUAUCGACGGGUGAUAGUUUACAGCAGCGAGAUCAGCCCAUCACCACAGGAGAGGUUUCAGCGUAGCUAACGAGGCGUGUCCCUCCAAAGACGUUUAAAAACAAGCAGGCAGACGGCACCACCAGUGGAGUGCGCUGGGGGAAACGCCGAGCCUGAACCGCACCCAAGCAUGAACCGUAAUAUUUGAUCUAGAGAGGAGAGGAGGACAGGGGGGAUCCAAGCCGGAGAGGGCCCUAGGAGAAAGGAGCCAGUCAAAGCGGAGACGUGGACAUUUCAGCGAGAUGACAGGCUUACCCCAAGUCAGUGGGGGAAGAGGUCUCCUCCAGGUUAGAUGGGACUGAGAGACACUGACAAGACUCAGCAGACAGAUGCAAUGACGGACUGGACGGACACAAACUCUGCAUCUCCAUGCCUGAUGUCAAAGCUCUCCAGGUCUCCAGCUCUUUUCAGGGAGCCAGGACAACAGGAACUUGGCCAGUUGGUCUCGCUGAUCCGGAACCAAGACGCAGAGUGAGAUGGGUGAACGUACAUUCCCAGACAUGAAAGGCCUUGCACAGUGUCCCGGCAACAGUAGAGGAUGAGUAAACCACAGUCGGAUCCGUCACUGGCAGUUUCUUGAUAGCUUUGCAGAAGAAAUGGAUCCAUUCAUUGACUCAACAAAUGUAAGAGUCCAAGACGCCAGACGUGAAAUACCACGCCUUUAAUCCCGGCACUCGGGAGGCAGAGGCAAUGGGCUGCUCUUCCUGGUCUACACAGGGAAUUCGAGACCGCCAGGGCUGCGUGAGAACUUGUCUCACCAUAAUGUACAGACAAGAACAUUCACUCUGCUGUGCGUGCGCUGUACUCACUGGAGGAAAUGGAGACCAGUAAGGGCGAAGAACCCUGCGUGUGUGGAGCUUUGUGGAGCUUGCAUUUCAACAACUGGACACAACGAGCAGGAAACGCAUGGACUGUGCGAAGUAACAAAUGCCAGGAGGCUGAAAAGCGGGGACAAGGCGCAGGGAGUGCCCAGGGGGCCACGGUGUGAUUUCAGAUAAAGCCCAGCCAGGGAGGAUGCUAUGGGAAGGCCACACCCAAUCUAAGCUGGGAGGAUGGCACAGUCGUGCCACAUCCGAGACGAGGAGUGGAAAAGCCUGUUGCUACAGAGAGAGCAAACCUGGCCGUGCUGAGAAAGCCCAGCUGUUAAAAGUGGGGGGUAGAUGGGUGCUUCAGAUGGUCCUUCAUGUUUUCUUUAGCGAGGAAGAGAUUUGGGGUUUUGUUCGGCUCACUUUAAAAGGGGGGAGGGGCUGGUACUGCUCUUCCAAGGACCUGAGCUUGGGUCUCAGCACCCACACUGGGUGGCUCACAACUACCCGUAACUCUAGCACCAACGCAUCCGAUGCCUCCACGGGCACCUGCACUUACAUACGACACGCACAUACACACACACCAUACACAUACACACACACAUACACCACACUCACACACUCACACACACACUCACACACCACACACACACUCACA
This is a long non-coding RNA of Mesocricetus auratus (golden hamster), 1511 nucleotides long. RefSeq lists it as uncharacterized. The record is from RefSeq and is a predicted model, not a curated record. The transcript has 3 exons. NCBI's taxonomy places the organism in Eukaryota, Metazoa, Chordata, Mammalia, Rodentia, Cricetidae.